Molecule: transfer RNA, 68 nt
Filed under: Marmota monax (woodchuck)
Lineage: Eukaryota; Metazoa; Chordata; Mammalia; Rodentia; Sciuridae
Description: tRNA.Ala
Source: RNAcentral
AGGAUGUGGUUCAGUGGUAGAGCAGUUACCUUGCAUUUGCAAGGCCCUGGGUUCAAUCCCCAGCACUG